Molecule: ribosomal RNA, 1100 nt
Filed under: Tentacularia coryphaenae
Lineage: Eukaryota; Metazoa; Platyhelminthes; Cestoda; Trypanorhyncha; Tentaculariidae
Description: eukaryotic LSU rRNA
Rfam family: Eukaryotic large subunit ribosomal RNA
Source: RNAcentral
ACCCGCUGAAUUUAAGCAUAUCACUAAGCGGAGGAAAAGAAACUAACCAGGAUUCCCCUAGUAACGGCGAGUGAAGAGGGAGAAGCCCAGCACCGAAGCCUGCGGUAGCUUUACUGCUAGGCAAUGUGGUGUUUGGGUCGGCCCGCGGGAUUGCCACUCCAUUCGAAGUCCAGCAUUGAGUAUGGUACCCUGGAUUUGGCCCAUAGAGGGUGAAAGGCCCGUGCGAAUGGAUGUUUCAGACAUGAAAGGCAGUUCACCAGGUCGGCCUUAGAGUCGGGUUGUUUGAGAAUGCAGCCCAAAGUGGGUGGUAAACUCCAUCCAAGGCUAAAUACUGGCACGAGUCCGAUAGCGAACAAGUACCGUGAGGGAAAGUUGAAAAGUACUCUGAAGAGAGAGUAAACAGUACGUGAAACCGCAUAAAGGUAAACGGGUGGCGUCAAGCUGCAAGCCUGGAGGAUUCAGCUGGUCAUUGUGGAGUGUAUACGUCCUGUGUAUCGCAGUCGGUGGUAGUGAGUAGUCUGCUGGUAAACGGCGGGCCUGGUCGCAAGACCAGGAUGUGCGUUCCACGUGUUCGGUGGUGUACGCUGCUCAACUAUUGGACUGGAUGGCCAGUGCACUUCCUCCAUUAAGGUGAACACCACGACCGGUGGUACUGCCAGUCUGGUGUAGCCAAGUUGUGUCUAUUUGGGCAUUCGUGUUCAUUAGGUGCAAUCACAGGCAGAUUCGGUGGACGGUGAGUAGACUUCGGUUUGCUCAUGUUAUCGGCCACUGGCUGUCARCGGGUCUGUCCAYUGGGGUUGCAGUCCUCGGUGGGUGGCCUGGUGGGCUACACUGGUAAGAAUAACUGUGCAGGGCACCGGAGUGAUCGGUCUCUAAUCCGGUUGGCGCACGCGCUGCAAGUGUGUGURGAGGUGCCAUUGCGGCCUGUCGUUGGUUGGGUCUGAUUGCCGUGUCGCCUGCGAAAAGUAGGUCCGGUAGUGGCUCGGCUACGGUCGGUGCAUGUAGUGGUAUUUCUYUGUCAGUCGGUGUGGACCUAACAGUCUGUGGUGUAGUGGUAGACGAGCUACCCGACCCGUCUUGAAACACGGACCAAGGAGUUU